AAAAACUCCAUAACUUCUAGGAAAUAGUUCUCAAAACAAAAACAGAAAUAGUUCUCAAAACAAAAUUGUAACGCAAGCAAAUAAUAUAUAAUUCAAACAAUCUAAACUUCUUAUUUGUCGGCCUUGGCAGCACUUGCAGCAGCUUGACCCCUGAGUCGCCCAGUCCUCUUGGCAGCAAUGAGACCAACCUUCUGUCCAGGAGGUGCAUCACGUCUGACAGUACUAGCAUGACCAAUAUGCUGGUGGUUACCUCCUCCAUGGGGAUGCUCAACUGGAUUCAUAGCCACACCACGAACCUUAGGCCAGCAGUUCCUCUUCACCCUAAACUUGUGGUAUGCAUUACCAGCCUUCAACAUAGGCUUCUCAGUUCUACCACCGCCAGCAACUUGACCAAUCAUAGCCCUGCAAUCACUUGGCACAAUCUUCUUUGCACCUGAAGGAAGCUUGAUCCUGUGAAACAAAAUUAACAUCUUAGUACAAAUCUAAACAAUAAACCAAAACCUAAAUAAACAUAACCCUAAACAAACUAUAAGGAUCAUAACAUUUUCUAAAUAUUUAAAUGUCAAAAAUACACCUGAUUGAAAACAAAAUGUGGAUGCAUUAGACACCUAAACAUAAUUUUUAACUGUAUUGAAGACAUACAACAUCAAAUUUAAGAUGUACAAAUCAGAUUCAAAAUUCAAACAAACAACAUGACAUCAGCGAAAUUCCAGCUGCAGAAAAUCAGGAUUAAACAAGUUCUCCUAAAACAGAGCAUCAUAUGGGAUAUUCUGAAAAGAAUUCUAGUUUAACCAAAUAAAAUUAACACUAAAGUAUCAUUUCAAACAAAACAAAUCAAAUCAGCCUAGUAAAUAAUAAUUCUCAAGAACUUAUAAACACAAACAUUAUUUGUAUCAAUAACCAAAUAAAGUAGAAUAAAAACUUAAACAGAAAAGAUAGAACAAAACCUAGAGGUGUCGUUAUCAGGGUUGUGACUGAUAACAAUAGCAUAAUCACCGGAGGCUCUGGCAAAGACACCACGGUCACCAACAUGUCCUUCGACGUUGCAGAUAACAGCUCCCUCAGGGAUAGAUCUGAGAGGAAGCACAUUACCAACAACUAGAGUAGCCUUUUUCCCACAGUAAAUGAACUGACCGGUGUACAAACCCUCAGCCGCAACAAAAAGCUCAUUCUGCUUCUUGUAACGGAAAGGAUGACGGAAAGUAACCUUGGCAAGAGGAGCACCACGACCUGGAUCGUGGAUAACAUCAGUAACAACUCCCUUGAGGUAACCGUUACGCUCGCCGAAAUCGAGACUGCGGAAACGAGCAGGUCCCUUCCGGUGAUGCGUGUGAGAUUUGAAAACUGAACCCGCUCCCUUACGUUGUGCCCUAAUCACACGACCCAUUGCUCCGCCUCUGAAAGUUGAAAGGGGAAGGGGAUGAAGAAUGAAAAACUGCUAACCUAGUUUUGGUUAUGAAAUGAGAAACUAGGGUUUUAAUAUAAUGACUUGGACGGGAAUGCUUAUGGGCCGGGUCAUAGAAGCCCAAUAUAGUUGUAUAUUGAAAGAGUCUAAUUUCCAUUUACCACCCCAAUUCCAACAUUGCAUUUUUAAAAUAAAUAUUUUGAAUUAUUCUUUUGUAUUCUAUGAUAUAAAAUUUUGACCAAAAAAAUGACAUAAACUAUUUUGAUUUUUAUGAAAUUUAAUAUUCCAUUUUUUAAAUAAAAUUUAUUAAAAACGAUUGAAAUAUUUUUUUUAAUUAGCCAUUUUAGUGUUUUUAAAAGAAUAUUUGGAUAUUUUUAUACGUUUUGAUGAUAAGAAGUAAAAUUGUGGAGGUGGAAAUUGAUUAUUCUAAUGUUGUAUUAUUAAAAAGACACCUUUUAUUACAUAAAAAAAUGGAUAUGUGUCUAAAAUAUAUACGCUUUAAUUUUAAGCCUAGAUGAGAAUUAAAAUUAUUUAAGUUUAAAAUAAAAUUUAAUUUUGUAGAUAGUAAAAAAUAGAGAGCUAAACUAUAAUUAAUUUAAAAUUUGAUUUAGCUAAUGAAACUAUAUGGAUUGAAUGGUAUAAUUUUAAAUUAAAUGUAUAUUUACAUCACUUUUUAUUAAUAUUUUUUUUAAUUUCAUUAAAUUUAUAUAGGGAGUCACUUGAUUUGGUGGAAAUAAUAUCAGUUUUAAUCCAUGAAAUAAAAUGUUAAAUAGCGUUGUUACUUAAAAAAAAUUAUAUAAAAAACAACCAUAAUAAAUAAUUUUAUACAUAGUCGAUAAAAAAAAUUAUUGAUUAAAAAAUAGAAAUAAAUUUUUUUCUCUCCUUCAUAAUCACAACCAUCUUAUAAAUUCAAUUGAAAAUAAAUUAAAAUUUAAAUAAACUUAAAAUUUUCUCACUUCUUAUUAAAUAUUUUUAAGAAUAUGAAUUUAGAUAAGUUUUUAUGCAAGUAUUCUUCAUUUUCUUAAACUAUAAAAUUUCUUCAAACAAAGUUUUGAAAUAAUUGCAAGAUGUAAGCAAAGAGAAUCGAAAAAGACAAGUUCUGGCAAUUAAACUUUUUAUAAUUAGUUAGAAACCUUCAAUUAAUUAAUUCAAUAAUUUGAUCACUAUUAUAUUUAUCACACUUGUUAAACUAUCCUAAUUUAUCCUCUUAUGUAGUUAUGAUAAAUGUAUCAAAUAAAAAAAUUACUAUUUUUUUUAUAAAAAUUUAGUUUGAUAUUCUAACACUUUGUCAAAAUCAUGUAUACCAAAUAAAUUUGUAAUACAUAACAAAAUGCAUAUCAAAAUUGAAGUAUUCAUCAUUAUUAUUUCUUCAAUUUUAAAACAAAAUAGCAAAACUAAUUCAAAAUUAAAGAGAUUAAACAAUUUCGUAAAAACAGUUUAAUUAGUAGUUAUUGUUUUUUUUAAGUAAAUUGCAGUUAUUAAACUAUUUGACACAAAUUAAAAUAUAUAAAAAAAAAGACUAAACAUUAUUAUCCAUGACAUUGCAUUCUCUAACGGAAUAAUCUUUCAUGAAAUAAAUAUUUUAGUGACGUAUAUACACAAAAUCAAUUAUGUAGUGAUAUAUUCAUAUAUAUAUAUACCAUUCAAUGGUGGGGAUAUCAUGGUUGUCCAUAAGAAGAGACAUCAUUUUAUCGUCCGCGAUCGAGGGCAGCCUCGUCUUCAACGCCCAUCACUCGCCCCGUUGUGGAAAACAUAAAAUACAUGUCUCGAUCAGAGAGAAUUCAGAGUCAACAACUCAGAGUGUGUCUCUUUGAAAGUAUGGAUUCAACGAACUAUUACUCUGACUAAGUGGGCGGUUAUCAAUCUCGAGAAACCUUAACUUCAUACCUAGAAGUCUCUAUAAGUAUCUCAUUCU
This 3320-nucleotide long non-coding RNA is filed under the name Lathyrus oleraceus (garden pea). RNAcentral's name for it is "Pisum sativum (pea) long non-coding RNA (PSAT_LNC010345)". Lineage: Eukaryota; Viridiplantae; Streptophyta; Magnoliopsida; Fabales; Fabaceae. The record is from RNAcentral.